This 622-nucleotide ribosomal RNA is filed under the name uncultured Acidobacteriota bacterium. Its description in RNAcentral is "bacterial SSU rRNA". It matches the Rfam family "Bacterial small subunit ribosomal RNA", at positions 879 to 1501 of the family's 1533-position model. Lineage: Bacteria; Pseudomonadati; Acidobacteriota. The record is from RNAcentral.
AGUACAGUCGCAGGCUUGAACCUCAAGGAAUUGACGGGGGCCGCACAAGCGGUGGAGCAUGUGGUUCAAUUUGACGCAACGCGAAGAACCUUACCUGGGCUCGAACGGCUGGUUACCGGCGGUGGAAACAUCGCUGCCCCGCAAGGGGGUCCAGUCGAGGUGCUGCAUGGCUGUCGUCAGCUCGUGUCGUGAGAUGUUGGGUUAGUCCCGCAACGAGCGCAACCCCUGUCCUGUGUUGCCAUCAUUCAGUUGGGAACUCGCAGGAGACCGCCAGCGAUAAGCUGGAGGAAGGUGGGGAUGACGUCAAGUCCUCAUGGCCUUUAUGUCCAGGGCUACACACGUGCUACAAUGGGCGGUACAAAGCGCAGCAAACCCGCGAGGGGGAGCCAAUCGCAAAAAACCGUUCUCAGUUCGGAUUGCAGGCUGCAACUCGCCUGCAUGAAGCUGGAAUCGCUAGUAAUGGCAGAUCAGCACGCUGCCGUGAAUACGUUCCCGGGCCUUGUACACACCGCCCGUCACAUCACGAAAGUGGAUUGUACUAGAAGUCUGUACGCUGACCCGCAAGGGAGGCAGCGGCCCAAGGUAUGAUUCAUGAUUGGGGUGAAGUCGUAACAAGGUAACC